This is a small nucleolar RNA of Magnolia sinica, 108 nucleotides long. Lineage: Eukaryota; Viridiplantae; Streptophyta; Magnoliopsida; Magnoliales; Magnoliaceae. The record is from RefSeq and is a predicted model, not a curated record.
UAGCCAUGUUGUGGACAUGAAUUGAUGAGAUCCUUAUAUCGCUCCCAACGUUUGAAGAAGGUCUCACCCUCUUUUUGGAUCAAAUUCAUGAUUGCUUUUUUUAAGGUG